RNAcentral lists this ribosomal RNA (292 nucleotides) under uncultured bacterium. RNAcentral describes it as "partial 16S ribosomal RNA". It matches the Rfam family "Bacterial small subunit ribosomal RNA", at positions 505 to 796 of the family's 1533-position model. The record is from RNAcentral.
GUGUCAGCAGCCGCGGUAAUACAGAGGGUGCAAGCGUUAAUCGGAAUUACUGGGCGUAAAGCGUGCGUAGACGGUUAUUUAAGUCAGGUGUGAAAGCCCAGGGCUCAACCUUGGAAUUGCAUUUGAGACUGAAUAGCUAGGGUGCGGAAGAGGGAAGCGGAAUUUCCGGUGUAGCGGUGAAAUGCGUAGAUAUCGGAAGGAACACCAGUGGCGAAAGCGGCUUCCUGGUCCAGCACCGACGUUCAGGCACGAAAGCGUGGGGAGCAAACAGGAUUAGAUACCCGGGUAGUCC